CUACGGGGUGCACCAGUGGGGAAUAUUGGACAAUGGGGGAAACCCUGAUCCAGCAAUGCCGCGUGUGUGAAGAAGGCCUGCGGGUUGUAAAGCACUUUCGGUUGGGAGGACUGCUUCUAGCACUAAUAUUGUUGGAAGUUGACGUUACCUUCAGAAGAAGCACCGGCGAACUCCGUGCCAGCAGCCGCGGUAAUACGGAGGGUGCAAGCUUUAAUCGGAAUUACUGGGCGUAAAGCGCGCGUAGGCGGCUAGAUCAGUCGGGUGUGAAAGCCCCGGGCUUAACCUGGGAACUGCAUCCGAUACUGUCUAGCUUGAGUACAGGAGAGGAGAGUGGAAUUCCACAUGUAGCGGUGAAAUGCGUAGAUAUGUGGAGGAACACCAAUGGCGAAGGCAGCUCUCUGGCCUGAUACUGACGCUGAGGUGCGAAAGCGUGGGGAGCAAACAGGAUUAGAUACCCCUGUAGUC
This 465-nucleotide ribosomal RNA is filed under the name uncultured bacterium. RNAcentral describes it as "partial 16S ribosomal RNA". It matches the Rfam family "Bacterial small subunit ribosomal RNA", at positions 339 to 795 of the family's 1533-position model. The record is from RNAcentral.